The sequence is a small nucleolar RNA, 135 nucleotides long. Its record names the gene SNORA70. It matches the Rfam family "Small nucleolar RNA SNORA70". Rfam says of the family: snoRNA U70 seems to be exclusive to mammals and is a member of the H/ACA class of snoRNA which contain H (ANANNA) and ACA box motifs. H/ACA box snoRNAs are involved in the conversion of uridines to pseudouridines (5-ribosyluracil) a constituent of structural RNAs (transfer, ribosomal, small nuclear, and small nucleolar). The record is from Ensembl.
UUGCGGCCAAUUAAUCCAACAUUGCUCUUUUCCCCAAGGGGGCCCAGUGUGCAAUGGCUGCAAAAAGAAGAUUCCUUGGUGGUGCAUGAAGCCUGUUGCCUGUAUAGGUUACCCUAAGGGACCUCGGAGACAGCC